UGAUGGAUUGACUGAGGAGUUAGUAGAAACUCUAAAGUUAAACAUGCUACGUUCAGGGCAAUACCAGGAUGGGUGACCUCCUGGGAAGUCUGACCAAUCCAUCAA
Cephalotus follicularis is the source of this 105-nucleotide non-coding RNA. The record is from Rfam. Lineage: Eukaryota; Viridiplantae; Streptophyta; Magnoliopsida; Oxalidales; Cephalotaceae.